CUCUAGUUCCCCUGACCGGGAGGCACCUGGCAGUUCACGUGCCUUCCGUUCGGCCUCAGCUCGGCCCUUUGGUAUUUCACCUAGGUAUUUCACCUAUGUGUUGAAGUCAGUCAGGGCGACUCUGAGGGCCAGAAGGAUCAGGUCAAUCAUCUCUCUGGACGAUAUUCUAUUGAUGGCACAAGAUCCAGCCAUACUGCAUUGGUAUACGUCGUUCAAAACCCGCCUGUUUCAGGUCCUGGGGUUCAUCUUCAACGUGGAGUAUUCGGAACUGAAUCCCUCUUAACGGUUGGUCCAGUUCCUGUUUUUAAUGGUGGAUUUGGUUCAGGCGGUGCUCCGCCUUCCAAUGUCCCCCUACACUAACGGGCUCCACCAAUGCCUGAAGGCGCACUAUCUCAGGUCAUCGGCUUUAUACGAC
This is a non-coding RNA of Pelobates cultripes (western spadefoot toad), 415 nucleotides long. Lineage: Eukaryota; Metazoa; Chordata; Amphibia; Anura; Pelobatidae. The record is from the annotation of a GenBank genome assembly.